CGCUUCUAAGGAAGGCAGCAGGCGCGCAAAUUACCCAAUCCUGACUCAGGGAGGUAGUGACAAGAAAUAACAAUAAACCGGCUUAUGCCGGUUUAAUUGGAAUGAGUACAAUUUAAACAUCUUAACGAGGAACAAUUGGAGGGCAAGUCUGGUGCCAGCAGCCGCGGUAAUUCCAGCUCCAAUAGCGUAUACUAAAGUUGUUGCAGUUAAAAAGCUCGUAGUUGGAUUUCUGCGGGGACGGAGCGGCCGGCCGCAACACGCGGUUCGAGCUAGCGCUUUCCCUACAUCCUGCCGCGAACCGUGCUACCAUUAAUUUGGUGGCGCCGGGGAUCGGCUCGAUUACUUUGAGAAAAAUAGAGUGUUCAAAGCAGGCCACAUGCCUUGAAUAAGUUAGCAUGGAAUAAUAACUAAGGACUUCGGUUCUAUUUUGUUGGUGUUCGGGACUGAAGUAAUGAUUGAUAGGGACAGUUGGGGCGGUCUGUAUUCCAAAGCGAGAGGUGAAAUUCUUAGACCUUCGGAAGACAAACAGCUGCGAAAGCGUUCCGCAAGGAUGUUCCCUUUGAUCAAGAACGAAAGUUGGGGGAUCGAAGACGAUCAGAUACCGUCGUAGUCUCAACUAUAAACUAUACCAGCUAGGGAUCGGCCAACGUUAUUUCAUACCGACUUGGUCGGCACCUUAUGAGAAAUCAAAGCAUCUGGGUUCCGGGGGGAGUAUGGUCGCAAGGCUGAAACUUAAAGGAAUUGACGGAAGGGCACCACCAGCCGUGGAGCCUGUGGCUUAAUUUGACUCAACACGGGAAAACUUACCAGGUCCAGACAUAGUAAGGAUUGACAGAUUGAUAGCUCUUUCUUGAUUCUGUGGGUGGUGGUGCAUGGCCGUUCUUAGUUGGUGGAGUGAUUUGUCUGGUUAAUUCCGUUAACGAACGAGACCCCAGCCUGCUAAAUAGCGCGAGUGAGCUUUGCUCGCUGCGAGCUUCUUAGAGGGACUAUGAUGCGCGAUAGCACAUGGAAGUUUGGGGCAAUAACAGGUCUGUGAUGCCCUUAGAUGUUCUGGGCCGCACACGGGCUACACUGGCGCCUGCAACGAGCAUACCAGCUGGCCCGAGAGGGUCUUGGCUAAUCUUUUGAACCGGCGCCGUGCUUGGGAUUGACCUUUGCAAUUGUUGGUCAUGCAACGAGGAAUGCCUAGUAAACGCGAGUCAUCAGCUCGCAUUGAAUACGUCCCUGCCCUUUGUACACACCGCCCGUCGCUCCUACCGAUGAAUGUUCCGAUGAAAUUUUUGGAGAGCACCUGUGAACUUGGCUCUGCCUUGCGAACGGGAGGCUCAAAGUCACUUAAAUCUGAACAUUUCGA
RNAcentral lists this ribosomal RNA (1354 nucleotides) under uncultured marine eukaryote. RNAcentral's name for it is "SSU rRNA". It matches the Rfam family "Eukaryotic small subunit ribosomal RNA", at positions 411 to 1777 of the family's 1831-position model. The record is from RNAcentral.